Molecule: ribosomal RNA, 836 nt
Filed under: Normandina pulchella
Lineage: Eukaryota; Fungi; Ascomycota; Eurotiomycetes; Verrucariales; Verrucariaceae
Description: bacterial SSU rRNA
Rfam family: Eukaryotic small subunit ribosomal RNA
Source: RNAcentral
AACCGUGGUAAUUCUAGAGCUAAUACAUGCUGAAAACCCCGACUCCGGAAGGGGUGUAUUUAUUAGAUAAAAAACCAAUGCCCUCCGGGGCUCUCUGGUGAUUCAUGAUAACUCAACGAAUCGCAUGGCCUUGCGCCGGCGAUGGUUCAUUCAAAUUUCUGCCCUAUCAACUUUCGAUGGUAGGAUAGUGGUAGGCAUCCCCCCUGUGUUCUAUCGCCCACCAUUAGAUACUUUGCUAAUUGCUGCGUUAGGCCUACCAUGGUUUCAACGGGUAACGGGGAAUUGUACGUGUCCGCCCCCUCCUGUGACCGUGAGUGUCUGCUAACGUGUGCUGUGUACAGAGGGUUCUAUUCCGGAUAGGGAGCCUGAGAAACGGCUACCACAUCCAAGGAAGGCAGCAGGCGCGCAAAUUACCCAAUCCCAAUUCGGGGAGGUAUGUCUCGAUUGAUCCUAGCGUUUGGAGUCCGCGCUAACCCCAUUUAGGUAGUGACAAUAAAUACUGAUACAGGGCUCUUUCGGGUCUUGUAAUUGGAAUGAGUACAAUCUAAAUCCCUUAACGAGGAACAAUUGGAGGGCAAGUCUGGUGCCAGCAGCCGCGGUAAUUCCAGCUCCAAUAGCGUAUAUUAAAGUUGUUGCAGUUAAAAAGCUCGUAGUUGAACCUUGGGCCUGGCUGAUCUGUCUUCCUAACCGUUGCACGGAUUCGGUCGGGCCUUUCCUUCUGGGGAAUCCCAUGCCCUUCACUGGGCGUGGUGGGGAACCAGGACUUUUACCUUGAAAAAAUUAGAGUGUUCAAAGCAGGCCUAUGCUCGGAUACAUUAGCAGGAAUAAUGAAUAGG